RNAcentral lists this transfer RNA (73 nucleotides) under Camelus bactrianus (Bactrian camel). It matches the Rfam family "tRNA". Rfam says of the family: Transfer RNA (tRNA) molecules are approximately 80 nucleotides in length. Their secondary structure includes four short double-helical elements and three loops (D, anti-codon, and T loops). RNAcentral also lists the same sequence under 2 other names. The record is from Rfam by way of RNAcentral. Lineage: Eukaryota; Metazoa; Chordata; Mammalia; Artiodactyla; Camelidae.
GAAGAUAUAGCUCAGUGGGUAGAGUGCCUGCUUUGCAUGCAGGAGCUCCUAGGUUCACUCCCCAGCACUUCCA